UAUUCCUCCUUAAAAUAUGACGAUUUCUGACCGGAGCAACAGAAAUGUCGGGAGAGCUUGUGAUACUCCCCCUCGAAAUUUAACAAUUUCCGGCCGGAGCGAUAGAAAAGUCGGGAGAGCUUGUGAUACUCCUCUUUGAAACCUGCAUAAAAAUAUGUUCUGGCUGAAGUGGUAGGAGUGUCGGAGAGAGUUUGUGAUAAUCCCCCCGAAUUGUGACAACUUCUGACCGAAGCGACAGAAGUGUCGUGGAGAGUUUGUGAUACUCCCCUUGGAAUGAAACGACUUCUAGCCAAAACGACAGAAGUGUUAAUGAGAGUUUAUGAUACUCUCCUCCAAAGAUGGGCGAGACGGCUUCCGGCUAGAGUGACAGAAGAGUCGGAGAGAGUUUGUGAUACUCCCCCUGAAAUCGUGCCGUUGUGACAGAUUGUAGAGUUAUGCUUUGGAUGUUUGUGCCCGAGGCGAUAGAAGUAUUGAGGAAAGCUUGUGAUACUCCCAUCGAAAAUCAUGUCAACCCGACAACUUUUAAAAUAUUGGUGUAACGGAGGUAUUGGAGGGAGCUUGUGAUACUCCCCCCGAGAAUCAUGUCGUCGUGACAUAUGAAAUGAAUUUUCGAAAUAUUUUGCAAUCUUUAUAUUUUGAUUAUCAAUGAACUACCUUCUGUCUUUUCUUUGCCAAUCUUCCAUAUAAACCACCUUUAAAUUGUAACCUAGGCUCGAAACUAGAUUCACAAGCCGUAAGUUAGCCACUCUGAACGUAAGUUAGACUCUGCUAAACCUCUCUUAGCCACUCUGGACGUAAGCUUGGUCGUACGAAUCGUAGUUCAGUCGUCAGUUAAAUUAGCGGAUAAUUUAU
Molecule: long non-coding RNA, 852 nt
Filed under: Zostera marina
Lineage: Eukaryota; Viridiplantae; Streptophyta; Magnoliopsida; Alismatales; Zosteraceae
Description: long non-coding RNA (ZMAR_LNC001060)
Source: RNAcentral